GAUGAACGUAGCGAAAUGCGAUAAGUAAUGUGAAUUGCAGAAUUCAGUGAAUCAUCGAAUCUUUGAACGCACAUUGCGCCCGCCAGUAUUCUGGCGGGCAUGCCUGUUCGAGCGUCAUUUCAACCAUCAAGCCCCCGGCUUGUGUUGGGGACCUGCGGCUGCCGCAGGCCCUGAAAACCAGUGGCGGGCUCGCUAGUCACUCCGAGCGUAGUAAUACAUCUCGCUCAGGGCGUGCUGCGGGUUCCGGCCGUUAAAAAGCCUUAUUUACCCAAGGUUGACCUCGGAUCAGGUAGGAAGACCAGCUGAACUUAAGCAUAUCAAUAAGCGGAGGA
Molecule: unclassified non-coding RNA, 332 nt
Filed under: soil metagenome
Description: partial contains 5.8S ribosomal RNA, internal transcribed spacer 2, and large subunit ribosomal RNA
Rfam family: 5.8S ribosomal RNA (bases 1-117)
Source: RNAcentral